This 253-nucleotide ribosomal RNA is filed under the name uncultured bacterium. RNAcentral's name for it is "partial 16S ribosomal RNA". It matches the Rfam family "Bacterial small subunit ribosomal RNA", at positions 524 to 776 of the family's 1533-position model. The record is from RNAcentral.
UACGUAGGGUGCAAGCGUUGUCCGGAAUUAUUGGGCGUAAAGAGCUUGUAGGCGGUUUGUCGCGUCUGCUGUGAAAUUUCGGGGCUCAACCCCGAACUUGCAGUGGGUACGGGCAGACUAGAGUGUGGUAGGGGAGACUGGAAUUCCUGGUGUAGCGGUGAAAUGCGCAGAUAUCAGGAGGAACACCGAUGGCGAAGGCAGGUCUCUGGGCCAUAACUGACGCUGAGAAGCGAAAGCCAGGGGAGCAAACGGG